Molecule: ribosomal RNA, 2931 nt
Filed under: Escherichia coli
Lineage: Bacteria; Pseudomonadati; Pseudomonadota; Gammaproteobacteria; Enterobacterales; Enterobacteriaceae
Description: 23S ribosomal RNA
Rfam family: Bacterial large subunit ribosomal RNA
Source: RNAcentral
GGGUUGUGAGGUUAAGCGACUAAGCGUACACGGUGGAUGCCCUGGCAGUCAGAGGCGAUGAAGGACGUGCUAAUCUGCGAUAAGCGUCGGUAAGGUGAUAUGAACCGUUAUAACCGGCGAUUUCCGAAUGGGGAAACCCAGUGUGUUUCGACACACUAUCAUUAACUGAAUCCAUAGGUUAAUGAGGCGAACCGGGGGAACUGAAACAUCUAAGUACCCCGAGGAAAAGAAAUCAACCGAGAUUCCCCCAGUAGCGGCGAGCGAACGGGGAGCAGCCCAGAGCCUGAAUCAGUGUGUGUGUUAGUGGAAGCGUCUGGAAAGGCGCGCGAUACAGGGUGACAGCCCCGUACACAAAAAUGCACAUGCUGUGAGCUCGAUGAGUAGGGCGGGACACGUGGUAUCCUGUCUGAAUAUGGGGGGACCAUCCUCCAAGGCUAAAUACUCCUGACUGACCGAUAGUGAACCAGUACCGUGAGGGAAAGGCGAAAAGAACCCCGGCGAGGGGAGUGAAAAAGAACCUGAAACCGUGUACGUACAAGCAGUGGGAGCCUCUUUAUGGGGUGACUGCGUACCUUUUGUAUAAUGGGUCAGCGACUUAUAUUCUGUAGCAAGGUUAACCGAAUAGGGGAGCCGAAGGGAAACCGAGUCUUAACUGGGCGUUAAGUUGCAGGGUAUAGACCCGAAACCCGGUGAUCUAGCCAUGGGCAGGUUGAAGGUUGGGUAACACUAACUGGAGGACCGAACCGACUAAUGUUGAAAAAUUAGCGGAUGACUUGUGGCUGGGGGUGAAAGGCCAAUCAAACCGGGAGAUAGCUGGUUCUCCCCGAAAGCUAUUUAGGUAGCGCCUCGUGAAUUCAUCUCCGGGGGUAGAGCACUGUUUCGGCAAGGGGGUCAUCCCGACUUACCAACCCGAUGCAAACUGCGAAUACCGGAGAAUGUUAUCACGGGAGACACACGGCGGGUGCUAACGUCCGUCGUGAAGAGGGAAACAACCCAGACCGCCAGCUAAGGUCCCAAAGUCAUGGUUAAGUGGGAAACGAUGUGGGAAGGCCCAGACAGCCAGGAUGUUGGCUUAGAAGCAGCCAUCAUUUAAAGAAAGCGUAAUAGCUCACUGGUCGAGUCGGCCUGCGCGGAAGAUGUAACGGGGCUAAACCAUGCACCGAAGCUGCGGCAGCGACGCUGAUGCGUUGUUGGGUAGGGGAGCGUUCUGUAAGCCUGCGAAGGUGUGCUGUGAGGCAUGCUGGAGGUAUCAGAAGUGCGAAUGCUGACAUAAGUAACGAUAAAGCGGGUGAAAAGCCCGCUCGCCGGAAGACCAAGGGUUCCUGUCCAACGUUAAUCGGGGCAGGGUGAGUCGACCCCUAAGGCGAGGCCGAAAGGCGUAGUCGAUGGGAAACAGGUUAAUAUUCCUGUACUUGGUGUUACUGCGAAGGGGGGACGGAGAAGGCUAUGUUGGCCGGGCGACGGUUGUCCCGGUUUAAGCGUGUAGGCUGGUUUUCCAGGCAAAUCCGGAAAAUCAAGGCUGAGGCGUGAUGACGAGGCACUACGGUGCUGAAGCAACAAAUGCCCUGCUUCCAGGAAAAGCCUCUAAGCAUCAGGUAACAUCAAAUCGUACCCCAAACCGACACAGGUGGUCAGGUAGAGAAUACCAAGGCGCUUGAGAGAACUCGGGUGAAGGAACUAGGCAAAAUGGUGCCGUAACUUCGGGAGAAGGCACGCUGAUAUGUAGGUGAAGCGACUUGCUCGUGGAGCUGAAAUCAGUCGAAGAUACCAGCUGGCUGCAACUGUUUAUUAAAAACACAGCACUGUGCAAACACGAAAGUGGACGUAUACGGUGUGACGCCUGCCCGGUGCCGGAAGGUUAAUUGAUGGGGUUAGCGGUAACGCGAAGCUCUUGAUCGAAGCCCCGGUAAACGGCGGCCGUAACUAUAACGGUCCUAAGGUAGCGAAAUUCCUUGUCGGGUAAGUUCCGACCUGCACGAAUGGCGUAAUGAUGGCCAGGCUGUCUCCACCCGAGACUCAGUGAAAUUGAACUCGCUGUGAAGAUGCAGUGUACCCGCGGCAAGACGGAAAGACCCCGUGAACCUUUACUAUAGCUUGACACUGAACAUUGAGCCUUGAUGUGUAGGAUAGGUGGGAGGCUUUGAAGUGUGGACGCCAGUCUGCAUGGAGCCGACCUUGAAAUACCACCCUUUAAUGUUUGAUGUUCUAACGUUGACCCGUAAUCCGGGUUGCGGACAGUGUCUGGUGGGUAGUUUGACUGGGGCGGUCUCCUCCUAAAGAGUAACGGAGGAGCACGAAGGUUGGCUAAUCCUGGUCGGACAUCAGGAGGUUAGUGCAAUGGCAUAAGCCAGCUUGACUGCGAGCGUGACGGCGCGAGCAGGUGCGAAAGCAGGUCAUAGUGAUCCGGUGGUUCUGAAUGGAAGGGCCAUCGCUCAACGGAUAAAAGGUACUCCGGGGAUAACAGGCUGAUACCGCCCAAGAGUUCAUAUCGACGGCGGUGUUUGGCACCUCGAUGUCGGCUCAUCACAUCCUGGGGCUGAAGUAGGUCCCAAGGGUAUGGCUGUUCGCCAUUUAAAGUGGUACGCGAGCUGGGUUUAGAACGUCGUGAGACAGUUCGGUCCCUAUCUGCCGUGGGCGCUGGAGAACUGAGGGGGGCUGCUCCUAGUACGAGAGGACCGGAGUGGACGCAUCACUGGUGUUCGGGUUGUCAUGCCAAUGGCACUGCCCGGUAGCUAAAUGCGGAAGAGAUAAGUGCUGAAAGCAUCUAAGCACGAAACUUGCCCCGAGAUGAGUUCUCCCUGACUCCUUGAGAGUCCUGAAGGAACGUUGAAGACGACGACGUUGAUAGGCCGGGUGUGUAAGCGCAGCGAUGCGUUGAGCUAACCGGUACUAAUGAACCGUGAGGCUUAACCUUACAACGCCGAAGCUGUU